GUGGGGAAUAUUGGACAAUGGGCGCAAGCCUGAUCCAGCCAUGCCGCGUGUGUGAAGAAGGCCUUCGGGUUGUAAACUGCUUUUGUACGGAACGAAACGGUCCUGGUUAAUACCUGGGGCUAAUGACGGUACCGUAAGAAUAAGCACCGGCUAACUACGUGCCAGCAGCCGCGGUAAUACGUAGGGUGCGAGCGUUAAUCGGAAUUACUGGGCGUAAAGCGUGCGCAGGCGGUGCUGUAAGACAGGCGUGAAAUCCCCGGGCUCAACCUGGGAAUUGCGCUUGUGACUGCAGUGCUGGAGUACGGCAGAGGGGGAUGGAAUUCCGCGUGUAGCAGUGAAAUGCGUAGAUAUGCGGAGGAACACCGAUGGCGAAGGCAGUCCCCUGGGCCUGUACUGACGCUCAUGCACGAAAGCGUGGGGAGCAAACAGGAUUAGAAACCCCUGUAGUCC
This 450-nucleotide ribosomal RNA is filed under the name uncultured bacterium. RNAcentral describes it as "partial 16S ribosomal RNA". It matches the Rfam family "Bacterial small subunit ribosomal RNA", at positions 354 to 796 of the family's 1533-position model. The record is from RNAcentral.